GAAGCACUAGAAGUGAAGUCCUUUUCUUAUUUUUUUAUUGUAAUUAGUAGUGUCAAUGAAAUGCCUUGUAACCAUUCAUGUUUUGCUUAUUAAGUGCUAAAUACCAUUCCUUUCUAAUAUGAGCUUUUCCCAAAGAGAUUUUAUUUGUGCCUGAUCCAUACUGGAUGCUUGUAAAUGACAUGAGUUGUUGAGGGAUGGCAAAGUGCCUCAUCUGAGUGUGAGAAGGUUCAUAUCACGAUCUUAAUUUACCAUACCUAUGAUUAAAUGUCAAGCCUGUAUAUUGAGUUUAGCAUUUGAAAGGUUCCUUGCAUUUGAAAUUGUAAUCAUAUAAUAAUUUAAUUAGCAUAAAAUAUACUGAA
Molecule: long non-coding RNA, 359 nt
Filed under: Phoenix dactylifera (date palm)
Lineage: Eukaryota; Viridiplantae; Streptophyta; Magnoliopsida; Arecales; Arecaceae
Description: long non-coding RNA (PDAC_LNC022785)
Source: RNAcentral